RNAcentral lists this ribosomal RNA (449 nucleotides) under uncultured bacterium. RNAcentral's name for it is "partial 16S ribosomal RNA". It matches the Rfam family "Bacterial small subunit ribosomal RNA", at positions 29 to 523 of the family's 1533-position model. The record is from RNAcentral.
AACGAACGCUGGCGGCAUGCCUAACACAUGCAAGUCGAACGAGAUCUUCGGGUCUAGCGGCGCACGGGUUCGUAACGCGGGGGAAUCUGCCCUUUGGUUCGGAAUGACAGUGGGAAACGACUGCUAAUACCGGAUGAGGACGACAGUCCAAAGAUUUAACGGCAGAGGAUGGGGCCGCGUAGGAUUAGCUAGUUGGGGGGGUAAAGGCGCACCAAGGCGACGAAGCGUAGCCGGGCUGGGAGGAUGAUCAGGCACACUGGGACUGGGACACGGCCCAGACUCCUACGGGAGGCAGCAGUGGGGAAUAUUGGACAAUGGGCGAAAGCCUGAUCCAGCAAUGCCGCGUGGGUGAUGAAGGCCUUAGGGUUGUAGAGCUCUUUUACCCGGGAUGAUAAUGACAGUACCGGGAGAAUAAGCUCCGGCUAACUCCGUGCCAGCCGCCGCGGUAA